RNAcentral lists this long non-coding RNA (319 nucleotides) under Gallus gallus (chicken). Lineage: Eukaryota; Metazoa; Chordata; Aves; Galliformes; Phasianidae. The record is from RNAcentral.
UUACAACCUUACAUCCAUUGCAGUUGUCACACCUGUCCUUUGGAUUUAUUCUUUCACCUUGGCCUUUGCAUUCUGGACAAACAGUUUGGAUUUGCUGUACCAUGCCAGGUCCUAUCUGCUGAACAAGAACUUGCAUUCCUCUUCCUUUACAUACAGGGCACUUCUCUACUGCACCUCUCUUUCCACCGUAACCUUCACAUUUCCCACAAAUAACAUUUUUUUGCAGUGCCAGUUUCCUUGUAACACCAUUAUAUAAGUCUUCAAGAGAUACACCUAGCUGGUGCACAACAUUCUUGCCUCUUCUCUCUCUAUUCAUUCG